This 73-nucleotide transfer RNA is filed under the name Trametes cinnabarina. RNAcentral describes it as "Pycnoporus cinnabarinus tRNA". It matches the Rfam family "tRNA". Rfam says of the family: Transfer RNA (tRNA) molecules are approximately 80 nucleotides in length. Their secondary structure includes four short double-helical elements and three loops (D, anti-codon, and T loops). Further hydrogen bonds mediate the characteristic L-shaped molecular structure. tRNAs have two regions of fundamental functional importance: the anti-codon, which is responsible for specific mRNA codon recognition, and the 3' end, to which the tRNAs corresponding amino acid is attached (by aminoacyl-tRNA synthetases). tRNAs cope with the degeneracy of the genetic code in two manners: having more than one tRNA (with a specific anti-codon) for a particular amino acid; and 'wobble' base-pairing, i.e. permitting non-standard base-pairing at the 3rd anti-codon position. RNAcentral also lists the same sequence under 3 other names. The record is from Rfam by way of RNAcentral. Lineage: Eukaryota; Fungi; Basidiomycota; Agaricomycetes; Polyporales; Polyporaceae.
GGUCGAGUGGUGUAGUGGUUAUCACACCUGUCUUACACACAGGCGGUCGUCGGUUCGAUCCCGGCCUCGAUCA